AUGGAGCCGGCGGAGGCGGGAGGCGGCAUCGCCGCCACGAGGAGCAGCCCGGCCGCCGUGCAGGCCACCGAGGACGACGCCGCAGCGAGCACGCUGACCGAUGAACAUGUCGGAGAUACUGCCCAGCCACCAUCAGGACAAACAGUACAAGAGCUAGUUGAUUCAUUCUCAGGCCAACUACCAGGGAGGAUUUGUGCCAAAGGAAAAUCAACCGCGGGUGUUUUGGUGGAGGAGAAGGACCUGGUUUCGUACCGCCGCGACUGGGAGAAAUCUUGGGGUGACAAAUGUGGCUCCUUCGAAUUCUACUCGUGCGUGAGAGCCAUGCUCUUCACAUGCAAACGCACCCCGCCACAUGCAGGCGUCAAGACUUGCCUGCAAAUCUUCUCCGUCAGAGUCAUGGAGAUCGACGGUGGUUAUCUUGAGUGGCCACUCGAGGUCUACGGCCUGGUCGCCACCCGGGACUCGAUGGAUCAUAAUCGUAACAUUAUCUUCAGACUCAGGAGGGAUGCCUGCCAACUCCUCACUCAACAGGAUCCAUUUUUGGCGCUGACCGGCCCGUCUCAUGCGAUUGUCUUCACCGGCCCAGUCGACAUUGAGAUACAACUCAAGGUGAAGGGCAGAACCACAGAGCAUGAAGACAAAGAUUUCAUCUCCAAAGUGCUGGUAUACGGACGUGAUCCUAGUGACAAACUCGCCGAUGCAGGCAUAGGCAACCACGACAUCGUGCGCACCAGCUGUUUCGGCGAGUUGUGCUCGCUAGAGGUCACCUCCGCCCUAGUCGCUGAAGCGGUCGAGGCCACAGUCAUCUCUGCUGAAGUUAUCGAGGGCCUAUGGCCCCCAAAGUCAGGAAUCCGUGUCGUUUCCGGUACCGCCAGCAUAGACGAGGACUUUGUACUGCUCGAUGCUCGGGAUGGGACACUCCGUGUGGAUCCGGCCCAGGGUGUCAUCCCCAUUACCAGAAAUGUUGUCUGCGUGGAGAAAGAUGGAAGGCUGAAGCUUUCUGUAGAGGCCUACAGAAAGAGUGGACGUAUGUAUGCAAUAUCUGUUACGGAGUUGAUACCCAAGAGAUCAUCCGCCAGUACUGCCAUAUGCAAGCUUCCCUUCUGCACGGUCGAGUUCACCGUAGCUUGGUCCUGCCUCGUGGCCACAGUGGAUGACCUGAGGAAAUACGGUAUCUGA
RNAcentral lists this ribosomal RNA (1179 nucleotides) under Triticum aestivum (bread wheat). Its description in RNAcentral is "partial small subunit ribosomal RNA". The record is from RNAcentral. Lineage: Eukaryota; Viridiplantae; Streptophyta; Magnoliopsida; Poales; Poaceae.